RNAcentral lists this ribosomal RNA (495 nucleotides) under uncultured bacterium. RNAcentral's name for it is "partial 16S ribosomal RNA". It matches the Rfam family "Bacterial small subunit ribosomal RNA", at positions 28 to 507 of the family's 1533-position model. The record is from RNAcentral.
GACGAACGCUGGCGGCGUGCCUAAUACAUGCAAGUAGAACGCUGAAGGAGGAGCUUGCUUCUCUGGAUGAGUUGCGAACGGGUGAGUAACGCGUAGGUAACCUGCCUGGUAGCGGGGGAUAACUAUUGGAAACGAUAGCUAAUACCGCAUAAUAUUGACUAUUGCAUGAUAGUCAGUUGAAAGGUGCAACUGCACCACUACCAGAUGGACCUGCGUUGUAUUAGCUAGUUGGUGGGGUAACGGCUCACCAAGGCGACGAUACAUAGCCGACCUGAGAGGGGGAUCGGCCACACUGGGACUGAGACACGGCCCAGACUCCUACGGGAGGCAGCAGUAGGGAAUCUUCGGCAAUGGACGGAAGUCUGACCGAGCAACGCCGCGUGAGUGAAGAAGGUUUUCGGAUCGUAAAGCUCUGUUGUAAGAGAAGAACGAGUGUGAGAGUGGAAAGCUCACACUGUGACGGUAUCUCACCAGAAAGGGACGGCUAACUACGUG